AUGCAAUUGCCAUGCGCGAGACAACCUUCCACACACCCGGUGCUGCGCCACUGCGUCGCGCUCCUCCGCCUCCACCUGCCGUCUCCCUCCGUCGCUGCGGCCAAGCAGAUCCACGCGCGCGCGCUCCGUGCGACUGGCGUGACCCUCUCCCACCCUCUCCUCGCCAAGCACCUCCUCUUCCACCUAGCUUCCCUCCGCGCCGGCGCUCCCCCGCUCCUCUACGCCGUCGCCGUCCUCUCCCGCCUCCUCCCCGACCCGGACCCUUUCUCCCUCAACACCGUCCUCCGCAUCGCCGCGUCCUCGGCGCGCCCACGCCUCGCGCUCGCGCUCCACCGCCGCCGCCUCGCGCCGCCCGACACGCACACCUACCCGCCGCUCCUCCAGGCCUGCACACGCCUCCUCGCCCUUCGCGAAGGCGAGAGCCUCCACGCCGAGGCCGCCAAGAACGGCCUGGUGGCGCUCGUCUUCGUCAAGAACUCGCUUGUCCACCACUAUGGUGCGUGCGGCCUCUUUGAGAGCGCCCACAGGGUGUUCGACGAAAUUCCGGUGCUGGAGCGGAACCUCGUCUCCUGGAACUCCGUGAUGAACGGGUUCGCGGCCAAUGGCAGGCCCAACGAGGUACUGACAAUCUUCCGGGAGACGUUCGAGGUGGACCUCAUGCCGGAUGGAUUCACCAUUGUGAGUGUUUUAAAUGCGUGCGCAGAGAUCGGGGCGCUCGCUCUCGGGAGGAGGGUGCAUGUGUUUGCGUCCAAGGUUGGGUUAGUAGGGAACAGACAUGUUGGUAAUGCGCUGAUUGAUCUGUAUGCCAAGUGCGGCGGAGUUGAGGAUGCAAGGAAGGUGUUUGAGGACAUGGGGGUGGGAAGGACCGUGGUCUCAUGGACGUCACUGAUCGUGGGUUUGGCAGGGAAUGGGUUUGGGAAGGAUGCGCUUGAGCUGUUCGGUCUGAUGGAGAGGGAGAAGCUUAUCCCUACUGAUAUCACUAUGGUAGGAGUGCUGUAUGCUUGUAGCCACUGCGGGUUGGUUGACGAUGGGUUUCGAUAUUUCAAUGAGAUGAAGGACAAGUACGGCAUAGCACCAAAGAUUGAACAUCUUGGAUGUAUGGUGGAUCUGCUGGGGAGAGCUGGAAGAGUUGAGGAAGCGCACGAUUAUAUCAGCACGAUGCCACUGGAGCCCAAUGCUGUUGUGUGGCGGACAUUGCUAGGUGCUUGUGCUAUGCACAAGAAGCUGGAACUUGGGGAGGCUGCUUGGUCACGGCUGGUUGAGCUUGACCCUGGGCACAGCGGCGACUAUGUCCUCCUCUCAAAUCUGUAUGCUGCUGUUGGGAGGUGGGCAGAUGUCCAUGUCCUUAGGAAGACAAUGGUCACGCAUGGAGUGAGGAAAAACCCAGGGCAUAGCCUUGUGGAGAUCCGCAACUCCGUGUAUGAGUUUGUUAUGGGCGACAGAUCACAUCCUGAGAGUGAUCAGAUAUACCUAAUGCUUGCCGAGAUAGCCGAGAGAUUGAGGCGCCAAGGUUACGUCCCCCGCACAAGCAAUGUAUUGGCAGAUAUAGAGGAGGAAGAGAAAGAGGCUGCUUUAAACUACCAUAGCGAGAGGCUGGCCAUUGCCUUUGCCUUGCUGAAGUGUCUUCCUGGUACUCCUAUCAGGAUAGUGAAGAACUUGAGGGUGUGUGGAGACUGCCAUUUGGUAAUUAAGUUAAUAUCUAAGGUAUAUGACCGUGAAAUCAUUGUUAGGGAUCGCAGUAGGUUCCACCAUUUCAAAGGUGGAGAAUGUUCAUGUAAAGAUUAUUGGUAG
This 1791-nucleotide ribosomal RNA is filed under the name Triticum aestivum (bread wheat). Its description in RNAcentral is "partial small subunit ribosomal RNA". Lineage: Eukaryota; Viridiplantae; Streptophyta; Magnoliopsida; Poales; Poaceae. The record is from RNAcentral.